This 392-nucleotide ribosomal RNA is filed under the name uncultured bacterium. Its description in RNAcentral is "partial 16S ribosomal RNA". It matches the Rfam family "Bacterial small subunit ribosomal RNA", at positions 523 to 918 of the family's 1533-position model. The record is from RNAcentral.
AUACGUAGGGGCCUGACGUUGUUCGGAAUCAUUGGGCGUAAAGGGCGCGCAGGCGGCCAUCCAAGUCCGGUGUUAAAUGGUCGGGCUCAACCCGAUCAUGCGCUGGAAACUGGGCGGCUGGAGUCCCGGAGGGGAUGCCGGAAUUCCAGGUGUAGGGGUGAAAUCUGUAGAUAUCUGGAAGAACACCGAUGGCGAAGGCAGGCAUCUGGCCGGAGACUGACGCUGAGGCGCGAAGGCGCGGGGAGCGAACAGGUUUAGAUACCCUGGUAGUCCGCGCAGUAAACGAUGCGCACCAGGUGUCGGGCGGCAGCGCCCGGUACCGGAGCAAACGCGAUGAGUGCGCCGCCUGGGGAGUAUGCCCGCAAGGGUGAAACUCAAAUGAAUUGGCGGGG